This is a non-coding RNA of Callithrix jacchus (white-tufted-ear marmoset), 124 nucleotides long. The record is from Rfam. Lineage: Eukaryota; Metazoa; Chordata; Mammalia; Primates; Cebidae.
CACCAUUUCAGUGGCAUUUAAAUCCCCGGCGCUCCUUCAUCUAGGUGACGCGCAGUCGCCCCCCCAGGCAGCCCAGGCGGCGGCAGCUGCGGCAGCGACUGUCAGGCCGAUUCGGUGUGCUGCG